Molecule: ribosomal RNA, 1387 nt
Filed under: Thermoactinomyces vulgaris
Lineage: Bacteria; Bacillati; Bacillota; Bacilli; Caryophanales; Thermoactinomycetaceae
Description: partial 16S ribosomal RNA
Rfam family: Bacterial small subunit ribosomal RNA
Source: RNAcentral
GGGUCAUGGGGGCGUGCUAUACAUAGCAGUCGAGCGGGAGAAUCAUCCUUGAGAUGAGAAUUCAGCGGCGAACGCGGAUAACACGUAAGGGCACACUCUGCCCGCAACAAGCGGAUAUACUACGGGAACAGGGGACUUAAUACCGGUUCUCUUUUCCCCCGAUGGAAAAGGGAAAGGCGGGUUUGGUUAUUGGGAUGGGCCCCGGCGCCUUAAAGUGGUUGGUGAGGAACGCUCCACCAAGGGGCGAGUGCUGCCACCUUGAGGGGUGAUGGCCACACAUGGGGAUGGACACGGCCCCAGAUCUACGGGAGGCACAUAGGGAAUUUUCCCAAUGGGGAAAGCCUUGAGGAGCAACGCCGCUGAGUGAGGACGGCCUUCGGGGUUGUAAAACUCUGUUCUUGAGGAAGAAUUCCUUCCAGGCGAACAGCCUGGAAGGUUGACGGUACUCAAGGAGAAAGCCCCGGCUAACUACGUGCCAGCAGCCGCGGUAAUACGUAGGGGGCGAGCGUUAUCCGGAAUUAUUGGGCGUAAAGCGCGCGCAGGCGGCUGAUUAAGUCAGGUGUGAAAGGCUGCGGCUCAACCGCAGAGCGGCACCUGAAACUGGUCAGCUUGAGUGCAGGAGAGGGGAGCGGAAUUCCCGGUGUAGCGGUGGAAUGCGUAGAGAUCGGGAGGAACACCAGUGGCGAAGGCGGCUCUCUGGCCUGUAACUGACGCUGAGGCGCGAAAGCGUGGGGAGCAAACAGGAUUAGAUACCCUGGUAGUCCACGCCGUAAACGAUGAGUGCUAGGGUUUUGGGGGGGUCCCCCCUCAUGCCAAAGGUACCCUUAAGCCUCCCCGGGGAGAUUACGGCCCAAGGCUAAACUUCAAAGGAUUGACGGGGGCCCCGCACAACGGUGGAGCAGUGGGUUUAAUUCCGAAGCAACCGCGAUAAACCUUACCAGGGGCUUGACAUCCCGCCUGACCCCUCCCAAGAUGGAGGUUUCCUUCGGAACACGGUGUACAGAGUGUCCAUGGUUUGUCUCCCUGCCGGUGAGAUGUUGGGUGCAGUCCCCACAAGAACCUUGUCUUAAUUGCAGCUUUCAAUGGGCAUCUACUAACAGCCCCGGUGAACCCGGAAGGAAGGGUGGUGGAUUGCUCCAAUCCCAGCCCUCUUAAGUCCUUGGGUUACACACUGCCCUACAUGGGGCGGUACACAAUGGGAGGGGAACGGCCGAGGGGACCCAUCCCAAGCAGUGACUCCAGUUCCAUCAGCUAGCAACUAGCCUGCGUGAGCCGAACGCUGUAUCGCGAUCAGCUGCCGCGGUGAUCGUGUCGAACGGCCUUGACACACGCACUCAGCACCAGCGGGUGCAACAAUCUCGAAGUCGGUGAGGCACCUUUAGGAGCC